CAAUCGGCCCUUUUCAGUGCCAACAAAUGUGUCCUAAAGAGUUAUUU
This is a non-coding RNA of Aedes aegypti (yellow fever mosquito), 47 nucleotides long. NCBI's taxonomy places the organism in Eukaryota, Metazoa, Arthropoda, Insecta, Diptera, Culicidae. The record is from Rfam.